RNAcentral lists this transfer RNA (76 nucleotides) under Nitrospira sp. RNAcentral describes it as "tRNA-Glu". It matches the Rfam family "tRNA". From Rfam's summary of the family: Transfer RNA (tRNA) molecules are approximately 80 nucleotides in length. Their secondary structure includes four short double-helical elements and three loops (D, anti-codon, and T loops). RNAcentral also lists the same sequence under 1 other name. Lineage: Bacteria; Pseudomonadati; Nitrospirota; Nitrospiria; Nitrospirales; Nitrospiraceae. The record is from RNAcentral.
GGUCCCAUCGUCUAGUGGCCUAGGACACUGGCCUCUCACGCCGGUAACACGGGUUCGAGUCCCGUUGGGAUCACCA